UAAAUCAUAUUAUAUUCAACCAUUAAACUAUCAUUCCAAUUUCAAAACAUAAGCCAAUUUCAAAUUGUAACACAACCAUACAUUUGAUUCAAUCUCCAUAUUCUAACAUUCAAUUUCAUACAUUUAACCAUGAAUAACCAUACAUACAUUCAAAUUUCAUUCCAAUUAUAACCCUACAUUACAACAUUUCAAAUUACAACAAAAUUGCCACAAGUCCCUAGUUCAAUUCCAAGUUACAAAAAUUACAACAUAGUCCAAGCAUCCAACAUGCACUUCA
This 277-nucleotide long non-coding RNA is filed under the name Lathyrus oleraceus (garden pea). RNAcentral describes it as "Pisum sativum (pea) long non-coding RNA (PSAT_LNC039354)". The record is from RNAcentral. Lineage: Eukaryota; Viridiplantae; Streptophyta; Magnoliopsida; Fabales; Fabaceae.